Molecule: ribosomal RNA, 253 nt
Filed under: uncultured bacterium
Lineage: Bacteria
Description: partial 16S ribosomal RNA
Rfam family: Bacterial small subunit ribosomal RNA
Source: RNAcentral
UACGGGGGGGGCAAGCGUUGUUCGGAAUUACUGGGCGUAAAGGGCUCGUAGGUGGCCAACUAAGUCGGACGUGAAAUCCCUCAGCUUAACUGGGGAACUGCGUCCGAUACUGGAUGGCUUGAGUUUGGGAGAGGGAUGCGGAAUUCCUGGUGUAGCGGUGGAAUGCGCAGAUAUCAGGAGGAACACCAAUAGCGAAGGCAGCUCGCUGGGACGUUACUGACACUGAGGCGCGAAAGCGUGGGGAGCGAACAGG